ACUCAAAUGAAUAGACGGGGACCCGCACAACCGGUGGAGCGUGUGGUUCAAUUCGAGACAAAGCGAAAGACCUUACCAGGUCUUGACAUCUUACCGUUUUAAGCCGCUGGAAACAGUGGCCUAUCCGCAAGGAUGGUAGGACAGCUGCUGCAUGGCUGUCGUCAGCUCGUGCCGUGGGGUGUUCCUUUAAGUAGGAGAACGAGCGCAACCCGUAUCUAAUGUUACAAGUGUCAUUAGAGACUGCCCCGCCUCUAGGCGGGGAGGAAGGAACGGACGACGUCAAGUCAGCACGGCGCUUAUGACCUGGGUCACACACACCCUACAAUGGCGAAAAACAAUGGGAAGCUAGCGGGCAACCGUAUGCAAAUCCCCUGUAAAUUUCGCCUCAGUUCAGAUUGGGGUCUGCAACCCGACCCCAUGAAGUCGGAAUCGGUAGUAAUCGCAGAUCAGCAGGCUGCGGUGAAUACGUUCUCGGGUCUUGUACACACCGCCCGU
Molecule: ribosomal RNA, 495 nt
Filed under: uncultured bacterium
Lineage: Bacteria
Description: partial 16S ribosomal RNA
Rfam family: Bacterial small subunit ribosomal RNA
Source: RNAcentral